GUAUUUCAACCCCAGUUCUCCACACCACUCUUGCUUGAUCGUCGUUGCUUCAUACCCGGUUCACUCACCCUCGUCCUCCGUUCAGUCGGCUGGGCUCGUCCUCCGGACCUCUCCUCUUUGGGCUUCCCCCAAGGCGUCCUCCCAGUUCUCCCUUGCAUCCUUCCUUCCUCGGCCCCAGUGUUCCCCGGCUCCUUGGUUCCCGUCCCGUCGGUUUCCCUGUGCCAGUGUUUCCCCGACAUCCUCCUCUCCCUCCACUCCAGUACCUCAACCCCCUUUUCCCCUAAAUAAACCUCCUUCGCUAAGA
Molecule: long non-coding RNA, 304 nt
Organism: Micropterus dolomieu (smallmouth bass)
Lineage: Eukaryota; Metazoa; Chordata; Actinopteri; Centrarchiformes; Centrarchidae
Exons: 2
Source: RefSeq, a predicted model, not a curated record